RNAcentral lists this ribosomal RNA (478 nucleotides) under uncultured bacterium. Its description in RNAcentral is "partial 16S ribosomal RNA". It matches the Rfam family "Bacterial small subunit ribosomal RNA", at positions 28 to 523 of the family's 1533-position model. The record is from RNAcentral.
GACGAACGCUGGCGGCGUGCUUAACACAUGCAAGUCGAACGGUAAGGCCCUUCGGGGUACACGAGUGGCGAACGGGUGAGUAACACGUGGGUGAUCUGCCCUGCACUUCGGGAUAAGCCUGGGAAACUGGGUCUAAUACCGGAUAGGACCCUGGGAUGCAUGUCCUGGGGUGGAAAGCUUUUGCGGGGUGGGAUGGGCCCGGGGCCUAUCCGCUUGUUGGUGGGGGGCUGGCCUACCAAGGCGACGACGGGGGGCCGGCCUGAGAGGGUGACCGGCCAGACUGGGACUGAGAUACGGCCCAGACUCCUACGGGAGGCAGCAGUGGGGAAUAUUGCACAAUGGGCGCAAGCCUGAUGCAGCGACGCCGCGUGAGGGAUGACGGCCUUCGGGUUGUAAACCUCUUUCAGCACCGACGAAGCGCAAGUGACGGUAGGUGCAGAAGAAGGACCGGCCAACUACGUGCCAGCAGCCGCAGUAA